UACAGAGGUCUCAAGCGUUGUUCGGAUUCAUUGGGCGUAAAGCGCGCGUAGGCGGACCUGCAAGUCGGGGGUGAAAGCCCGAGGCUCAACCUCGGAACUGCCUUCGAUACUGCGGGUCUCGAGUCCGGGAGAGGUGAGUGGAAUUCCUAGUGUAGAGGUGAAAUUCGUAGAUAUUCGCAAGAACACCAGUGGCGAAGGCGGCUCACUGGCCCGGUACUGACGCUGAGGUGCGAAAGCGUGGGGAGCAAACAGG
This 253-nucleotide ribosomal RNA is filed under the name uncultured bacterium. Its description in RNAcentral is "partial 16S ribosomal RNA". It matches the Rfam family "Bacterial small subunit ribosomal RNA", at positions 524 to 776 of the family's 1533-position model. The record is from RNAcentral.